AUCAAAAAGAUGUUGGAAAGAAUUCCUGUACUCUCUUUUUGUCAUAGCAUACUGAAAAGUAAGCACAGAAGAUUUCUCCUAGAUGCUAUUAGACAAGAAGAAAAGGUUGUCUGGAUAAGCUUGGAAAUCUUAUCACUAGAGAUCUUCAGGAUACGGACCCUUCACGUGUAUCAGACAGAAGCAUAAGGUCUGUUCUGACAGCUUUGGUGCCUCACCAAGUUUAAGCAAGAGGAGCCUUCUCAUGAGAGGUAGUCAGAGUUGGUUAUCAUAUACGGAGGCAAAUGCCUUGCACGUGCAGCUGGGGGAGGUUCAAGGACUGUUGAGGAAAAACGGCACUUAAGUGAAAUGAUUCAUCAGAUUUGAUCUUUUGGGAAACAAAAUGCUUUCUGUUUUGUCUCUGCACAUACUUAGCUUGAUGGAGCACUGGUCUGCUGUAACUUCAUUAUCAUUAUUGAUAACGUUGCAAAGCUAUGGAGAGAACUUCUGCUUUCUCAGGCAAGUUACUGAGCAUAGGGCAGAGGACCUGGGGUUUUACCCAAUCUGCAACCAUCUGGAGAAUUCCAAGGGAUGGUCAGAACCAACCCUGUGUUUCAUGCACCCACCAGCCCAUCUGAGUGAGUCCACUCCAUCUGCACAUCCUGCAUCUGGGCACCUACAAGAAGAUGGAGUGACCAUAGAAUCCUCGUCAUAGAAUCAUCAUAAUUUGAGUUGAAGGGGCCCUUAAAGGCCACUUAGUCCAACUCCCCUGCAACAAACAGAGACACCUACAGCUAGAUCAGGGUGCUAAGAGUCCUGUUUAGACUGACCUUGAGCAUCCCCAGGAACAAAGCAUCCACCAUCUUUCUGGGAAAACUGUUCCAGUGCUUCACCACACUUACUUUAUAAAAACUUCUUUCUGUCCAGUCUGGAUCUCCCUUCUUUCAGUUUGAAACCAAUUCCACUUGUCCUGUCAUACCAGAUCCUGCUAAAGAGUCUGCCCUUUCUUUGUUAUAGCCACCCUAUUGACUCCCUCUGAGUCCUCUGCUUCCCAAGACAAUCCACAGGCAGAAAGACUCACUAAUACCUCUGUUUCACUCUGUGUGCUGAGCCAGGAAUCAUGAUGGGGGCUAGAGGCAGACCGCUGUGUACCACCAGCCAGUGCCCUCCUGUCAAGCAGGCAGUGGCUGGCGGUUGGCACCACAUUUCCAGGGCUAAUUCCAGAGUACUUUAGUGCUCAUAGGAAAUUCUUUGUAACAUUCCCUUUGCUCUAAUAUUCAAUUAGCUUUCAAACAAGCGAAGAGCCUGGAUGAGCUGAGAUGGCCAUUUUACCAAGUACUGUACCAUCAUGAAGAGUUCACAGACAGCUGUUUCAAAGUAAUUGAAGUCAUAAUGCGCAGAAAAAUGACUUUUCUAAUGGUUGCCUUGAAGAUUUAUUUUUUUUUAAUGUAAUUAAAAAGUAGAUUUAGAAAUAUGCUCGGCAACCCAAAAGAUUAAAUAUUAAUAUGGUGCAUAAUUAAUAAAUGAUACAUCUCUUGAUUACUAAUGGGUUAUCGACUCUAAAAGCCUAACAUUAUGGAAUAUUAGGGCAAACAAAGGCUUUGGGGGAAUAUCUCUAAGUUUCCAGGAUGAAGCUGCAUCUUUGUCCAUGUGAAAAGUUGUACACUUCCUUCAGUGUUCUCCGAAUCACCGAAAAACAGCAUUAGAAAGUUAAGCGAUAAGUCAUGACGAUUAUAACCACUUUACAAAGUUGCAUUCUUACAAUUUAUUCUACGAUGGAAUCCUGACCUUCAGGUCUAUCUGCAGGCUAUUCUAUCAAAGAAAAUUCUGCUUAAAAUGGUAUUUUGUCUUAGAAAAUAAAUUAAUUACC
Gallus gallus (chicken) is the source of this 1846-nucleotide long non-coding RNA. The record is from Ensembl. Lineage: Eukaryota; Metazoa; Chordata; Aves; Galliformes; Phasianidae.